Molecule: ribosomal RNA, 301 nt
Filed under: uncultured bacterium
Lineage: Bacteria
Description: partial 16S ribosomal RNA
Rfam family: Bacterial small subunit ribosomal RNA
Source: RNAcentral
CAGCCGCCGCGGUAAUACAGAGGGUGCAAGCGUUAAUCGGAAUUACUGGGCGUAAAGCGCGCGUAGGUGGUUUGUUAAGUUGGAUGUGAAAUCCCCGGGCUCAACCUGGGAACUGCAUCCAAAACUGGCAAGCUAGAGUAUGGUAGAGGGUGGUGGAAUUUCCUGUGUAGCGGUGAAAUGCGUAGAUAUAGGAAGGAACACCAGUGGCGAAGGCGACCACCUGGACUGAUACUGACACUGAGGUGCGAAAGCGUGGGGAGCAAACAGGAUUAGAUACCCCUGUAGUCCCUGUCUCUUAUAA